CACCUUCUUCUGCGUUUACAUUCCCACCAAACCCAUCAAACACACCAUCAUCAUCACCUGGGGUGAAGUCAACGUGCCCAACAGCCCCUUCAGGGUGACCAUCGGGGAGGGGAGCCACCCGGAGAACGUGAAGGUUUACGGUCCAGGUGUGGAGAAGACGGGGCUGAAGGCCAACGAGCCCACGUACUUCACGGUGGACUGCAGCGAGGCCGGACAGGGCGACGUCAGUAUCGGGAUCAAGUGCGCCCCCGGCGUGGUCGGACCGGCCGAGGCCGACAUCGACUUCGACAUCAUCAAAAACGACAACGACACCUUCACGGUGAAGUACACGCCUCCGGGUCCGGGUCAGUACACCAUCAUGGUGCUGUUCGCCGACCAGGUGAGCCGGCCCGCCGCUCAGCGGCCAAUCGGAGCCACUUCUGCUCAGCGAGACGCUUAACCAGCUCUUAUUGUGAAAAACACACAGGAGAUCCCCAUCAGCCCCUUCAGAAUAAAAGUGGAUCCGUCGCACGAUGCAGCCAAAGUCCGGGCAGAGGGACCCGGACUGAGCAGGACCGGCGUGGAGGUGGGCAAGCCCACUCACUUCACCAUCUUCACCAAAGGAGCCGGGAAGGCCAAGCCAGAGGUGCAGUUCACCGCAGCCGCCAAAGGGGACGCCGUCAGAGACUUCGAGAUCAUCGACAACCACAACUACUCGUACACCGUGCGCUACACCGCCGUGCAGCAGGUAACACCACUGACACACC
This 746-nucleotide long non-coding RNA is filed under the name Salarias fasciatus (jewelled blenny). RNAcentral's name for it is "lncRNA (ENSSFAG00005005104.1)". The record is from RNAcentral. Lineage: Eukaryota; Metazoa; Chordata; Actinopteri; Blenniiformes; Blenniidae.